This 119-nucleotide transfer-messenger RNA is filed under the name Prevotella sp. RNAcentral's name for it is "partial transfer-messenger RNA". It matches the Rfam family "transfer-messenger RNA", at positions 1 to 126 of the family's 374-position model. Rfam says of the family: Bacterial tmRNA, also known as 10Sa RNA or SsrA, is named for its dual tRNA and mRNA-like properties. The record is from RNAcentral. Lineage: Bacteria; Pseudomonadati; Bacteroidota; Bacteroidia; Bacteroidales; Prevotellaceae.
GGGGCUGACUGGCUUUGACAGCGAGAUGAAGUGGUUUGUAAGCAUGCAGUGCGUAGUCGGCUGGCACUAUAAUCUCAGACGUCAAAAAUUUAACUGGCAAUAACAAUUACGCUCUUGCU